Molecule: ribosomal RNA, 440 nt
Filed under: uncultured bacterium
Lineage: Bacteria
Description: partial 16S ribosomal RNA
Rfam family: Bacterial small subunit ribosomal RNA
Source: RNAcentral
CCUACGGGUCGCUGCAGUGGGGAAUAUUGCACAAUGGGGGAAACCCUGAUGCAGCGAUGCCGCGUGGAGGAAGAAGGUUUUCGGAUUGUAAACUCCUUUUAUUAGGGACGAUAAUGACUGUACCUGAAGAAAAAGCUCCGGCUAACUACGUGCCAGCAGCCGCGGUAAUACGUAGGGAGCGGGCGUUGUCCGGAAUUACUGGGGUGAAAGGGGGAGUAGGCGGGAUGGCAAGGCAGAGGUGAAAACUGAGGGCUCAACUUUCAGACGGCAUUUGAAACUGUUGUUCUUGAGUGAAGUAGAGGUAAGCGGAAUUCCGGGUGUAGCGGUGAAAUGCGUAGAUAUUAGGAGGAACAUCGGUGGCGAAGGCGGCUUACUGGGCUUUUACUGACGCUGAGGCUCGAAAGCGUGGGGAGCAAACAGGAUUAGAUACCCGUGUAGUC